This 2898-nucleotide ribosomal RNA is filed under the name Triticum aestivum (bread wheat). RNAcentral describes it as "partial small subunit ribosomal RNA". Lineage: Eukaryota; Viridiplantae; Streptophyta; Magnoliopsida; Poales; Poaceae. The record is from RNAcentral.
AUGGCUAGGCAGAAAUACGACUCCCAGUGGAAGGAAGUAAGGCUCAUCAAUGCCUAUGCAGUGCUUGUUGUGUAUGUGUUGCACACGAUCAGAGGGAUAGGCUUCCUGGCGAUGACAUGGAGCACGGUGGUUCUUCUCGGUGGCUUCGUCUCCAUGAUAGACAAGGUGGAUUUUGGGCGUCUCACUCUGAUUACCCUCAUACAGAUACUCUGGAUAAACGCCUCUUUCCUUCAAAUGAUGGGAUCAGCUGGUGAUUUGUCCUCGAGUUUGAAGGCCGUGGAAAUUCUUUUGACGCGCAAGUAUCAGCAGGCUGCUAAUGCGCGCAAUGAUCACUCGGAACUGCCAGUCUUUAAGCAAGUUGUGAAAGCGCUACGUGUGGUGAUAGGAUGGGUUCUAGCGGUGGUUCACAAUGUAGUUUUGUACUUGACCAUCUUGUCUGUGGCGUGCCUCUUCUUGUUUGGGCUGUUGAUCACCACUUCGGUUUCGAUGAUCGGUCUAAUGAAGCACGACUACUAUGGGAACACGGAUGAGGGCAGAGUAAACAUGGAUCCGGCACAUAAUAUCUUGUAUGUCCUGUGUGUGGUCCAAGGCGCACUGUUCGUGUAUAGAAUCACAUUGAUACCUUCGAGGAAGAGAAUAGUGAAGCAAGUGAGCCGAACAUACGGGUUCCGUGAUGAUGGCCGUUCAGUUUCAGGCUACUUAGACGAAUUCAGCAAAGGAUACCUUAAGAAGACAUCAUCCGCCAGAGAAAGAAACCUCAUCACAUAUGCUGUACAACUAAUGGAGUCGGAGUCAUCCCGUAGCUGCCUUUCCGGAGCACUGAUACUGGACAGACUACUCGCCCGGCAGCGUUCAGACAAGAUCAAAGCUCAUGAGUUAAUCAAACAAGAAGAAGAAAAACAGCAAGGGCAAUUAGAUUUAGAGGAAAACACUAGAGCUCCUUUGUUUCAGACGGAUGUGAAGAAGAAAGAGGAGAAUAACGAGGUGGGGAAUAAGAGGGAGGAAAGGAGGGAGGAGAUGAAGAAGAAGAGGGAAGAGAGGAAGAAGAAGUGGGACCAAAAGAGGGUGGAGAGGAAGAAGAAGAAGAGAGAGGAGAGGAAAAAGAAGAGGCAUCAGCAUCAGCAUCAGCAAACAGAGGAGGAGAUCAUGGUGCAGCAGUGCAAGGUGAUAAAGCGGCUGAUCGGGUCUGCGUCCUCCGCCCACAUUCUACAGAAACUGCUUCACACACUAGACUCAAGACGCUCAAGUGACAAAUUGAUGAGGGAAGCUGCUGCGAGGAUAGUGGAGCACGUUGCUGGAGUGAUACGUUUGAACCAGUUCCCGCAAGGGAUCCAAUGCAUAUCUUCACUCAUCAACUACUUCGAAGAAUACCGUCGACUCCAGCCAUAUCAAUCAUCAUCAUCCUCAGUCAACACAAAUGAAGACAUUACAACUGCGACAAAAACAAACAAUGGUCAUGAUCAGAAACAAGGCAGCAGCAACAACACUUCGCCAUCCGAGUCAGAGUUGGAUUACUCAGAGUCAGAAUCAGACACAGACUCAGACUCAGACAGCGGGGUUGAUCGGCCAUCAUCACCUAAGACGCUCCAUGGCUACAAAGAAUUGGUGCUGACUGGCCUGCGUAUCCUUUGGAGACUUGCAGGCAGUGAGGACAACUGCACAAUCAUAAGCAACACCAAACAUCUUGUCUCCAAGAUCAUGGCGCCUAUUAGCUACGACCUAGUGCACCUCACAGGUCAUAGUGAAUGGUCCACUCAGGUAGUAGAGAGAUCAUUGGGGGUGAUGCUUCGGUUGAUUGUGACUGCCAAGGGAGACACUGGGGAAGACCUGCGUCAACGGAUCUUAAGUGAUGAAGGAGCAAUUUCCACCAUGAAAAAAAUUGUUGUCUGCGAAGAAUGUAAAGGUGGAGAACCGCAGAUGAAGGCCAUGCAGAUCCUCACGCAGCAAUGCAUGGAUGAAACUGUAAACAGAGGUAAUCUAACUAAGAUGCUCGUAAGCAUCUUCGUUGAUGGCGAUAGCAGCAAUGCCUCCAUCAGAAAGACUGCAGGUAAAACACUGGUGGUGCUGUUUCGCAGCAGCAAAAGCGCCGCCACCCUUCUCCCGAAGGAGGAACAUGAUGACUUUGUUGGUGGUCUUGCUAAAAUACUUUUACAAGUUGGAGACAACAACACAUGCAGAAACUAUGCUGCAGAAAUUCUGGAGCAUCUAUGUAUUCAGUAUGCUGAGAAUGGUGAAUAUCUCAGCACACUCAAGAACACCAUUACAGGUGUGAUGCCAGAGGUACUCAGAGAAAUGUGCCAUGGGUCAACAGAAGAAGCAGAAAAGCCUGAGUAUGCCAGAUCAGAUACUGAUGUCGAAAGCCAAAGCAAAACCAAGAAGAAGAGAAGGAACAAGAAGAAGAAUGCUUCACCCUCUCCUAGACAAAACCAACACCACAAGCUGCAUGUUGCCCUGCUAUCGCUCUGUGUGACGGCAUGUGACAAAUUACACCUUGAUCUCGAUGCAAUUUCAAUGGGAGAAGGAAGAGAUCAGGCUACAGAUCCAAGAGAAUCUGUUACGUUCAGCCUUGCGAUGAAAAUGGUGCGGUUAAACAGGGAUAUUAUAACCCCCGAUAGCCUGACAGCAAUGAAGCUUACCACUAGGAUGGUGAUAGCAGCAAUGAGGAAACUCGGGGGCAACGGCGCCGGUGUCGACCGAGCUAAUCUCGAGAGCCUCAUGGACUCCCUGUCUAGUGUUUCAGAGACCAUGUUGGAUCUAGAGGGAUGCAUGGUUUUCGCUACCGAGACGACCACGACAAAACCUGCCACUAUCGACACCCUCAGCUCCCUCGUGAAACAAGCACGGCAACUUCACGGAGAAAUUAAGGGCCAAGACUCAGAAAUAGUGACAGCUAGCUAG